Molecule: ribosomal RNA, 253 nt
Filed under: uncultured bacterium
Lineage: Bacteria
Description: partial 16S ribosomal RNA
Rfam family: Bacterial small subunit ribosomal RNA
Source: RNAcentral
UGCGUAGGGUGCAAGCGUUAAUCGGAAUUACUGGGCGUAAAGCGUGCGCAGGCGGUGAUGUAAGACUGGUGUGAAAUCCCCGGGCUUAACCUGGGAACUGCAUUUGUGACUGCAUCGCUGGAGUGCGGCAGAGGGGGAUGGAAUUCCGCGUGUAGCAGUGAAAUGCGUAGAUAUGCGGAGGAACACCGAUGGCGAAGGCAAUCCCCUGGGCCUGCACUGACGCUCAUGCACGAAAGCGUGGGGAGCAAACAGG